UACGUAGGGCGCAAGCGUUGUCCGGAAUUAUUGGGCGUAAAGGGCUCGUAGGCGGCCAACUAAGUCGGACGUGAAAUCCCCAGGCUCAACCUGGGAACUGCGUCCGAUACUGGAUGGCUUGAAUUCGGGAGAGGGAUGCAGAAUUCCAGGUGUAGCGGUGAAAUGCGUAGAUAUCUGGAGGAAUACCGGUGGCGAAGGCGGCAUCCUGGACCGACAUUGACGCUGAUGAGCGAAAGCCAGGGGAGCAAACGGG
RNAcentral lists this ribosomal RNA (253 nucleotides) under uncultured bacterium. Its description in RNAcentral is "partial 16S ribosomal RNA". It matches the Rfam family "Bacterial small subunit ribosomal RNA", at positions 524 to 776 of the family's 1533-position model. The record is from RNAcentral.